AUUGAACGCUGGCGGCAUGCCUUACACAUGCAAGUCGAACGGCAGCACGGGUGCUUGCACCUGGUGGCGAGUGGCGAACGGGUGAGUAAUACAUCGGAACGUACCUUAUCGUGGGGGAUAACGCAGCGAAAGCUGUGCUAAUACCGCAUACGCCCUGAGGGGGAAAGCGGGGGAUCGAAAGACCUCGCGCGAUUAGAGCGGCCGAUGCCUGAUUAGCUUGUUGGUGGGGUAAAAGCCCACCAAGGCGACGAUCAGUAGCUGGUCUGAGAGGACAGACAGCCACACGGGGACUGAGACACGGCCCAGACUCCUACGGGAGGCAGCAGUGGGGAAUUUUGGACAAUGGGGGCAACCCUGAUCCAGCAAUGCCGCGUGAGUGAAGAAGGCCUUCGGGUUGUAAAGCUCUUUUGUCAGGGAAGAAACACCGGCUCUAACACAGUCCGGGAAUGACGGUACCUGAAGAAUAAGCACCGGCUAACUACGUGCCAGCCGCCGCCGUAA
Molecule: ribosomal RNA, 501 nt
Filed under: uncultured bacterium
Lineage: Bacteria
Description: partial 16S ribosomal RNA
Rfam family: Bacterial small subunit ribosomal RNA
Source: RNAcentral